Molecule: non-coding RNA, 26 nt
Filed under: Rattus norvegicus (Norway rat)
Lineage: Eukaryota; Metazoa; Chordata; Mammalia; Rodentia; Muridae
Source: RNAcentral
UAAGCAGUGGUGGCAACGAGAGAAGC